Long non-coding RNA from Triticum aestivum (bread wheat), 1238 nucleotides. RefSeq lists it as uncharacterized. The record is from RefSeq and is a predicted model, not a curated record. The transcript is spliced from 4 exons. Lineage: Eukaryota; Viridiplantae; Streptophyta; Magnoliopsida; Poales; Poaceae.
AAUCCCUCCUCCAGAUCGAGACUAGCCUCCACCCAGACCCGCCGCCGCCGCCCCCGCUCUCACCCCCAACCACCCCACCGUCGUCCCUUCCAAACCAUAAUCCUUGCCGGCACGUUCCCUCCAUCCCUGUGUGCCGCCGUCCCUACCUCUGUUCCUCCACUCACCUGCGCCCGACCUAGUCAUCUCCGGAUCUGGCUGCACACUGGUCAUCGGUGCUGCCGGAUCUGGCCGCUCCGGGCCUCAUCAACGCUGCCCCGGUUGUUCACCUCUCCACCACCUCUCCCCUCAUCGUCAUCCCAUCCGCCUCGCCCAGAUCCGUGAGAGGGUAAGACCGGGUGAGUAGCUGUCUGUCUCCUGACGAGCUCGUCCCCAAACGGCCUCUCCAUGGAUUCCCUCCACCACACUCCCAACGCCACUGCAUUCAGAACACGGUCCGGACUCCUAAACUUUUGGAGGAAGCACCAGAUCAUAGACCGUGGCAUCGAGUAAAAGUAGAUCGACCGCGAGCUGCAUCGACAUCGAGGGUUCCUCUUCUUCACGGGGCCUGCACCUUCUGGUGGUGCAGGCAUGCAGCACCAGCUGCUGUGGAGGACGGAUGGCGCAGUGUUGAUAGGGCUGCUCCACUCCUGCUGCACCACAACAUCCUCUACAGUCGCCACCGGUCUCACCACAACGCCUCUAUCAUCAUCGAGCUCAUCACCUAAGCUGGCAUCUUCAUUUCAAAAAUUGAUAAAAGUGGAAAAAGGGAUGCCAGAAGAUACAAGCAUCUGGAUGUGGAUUCUAAGUCCAUGGAAAAAGCAGCACUGCGACCAGAAGCAAGCUGAGGUUUCUUAAACAUACACAAGUUGAUAGAGGUUUGGAAGAUCUACAAGUUGCUGGGGAUUUGGAAGAUCUAACAAGUUGGAGUUAUAAUAUAUAUACUCCAUCCGACCCAUAAGAUCGUUUUGCAAAACGAUCUUAUAUUAUGGGACGGGGGAGUAUGUAAUAUGUCUUGUUUAUUGAGCCUGGGGACAUUGGCAAGUUCACUUUGCUCAUUUUGAUAUUCGUUUUGACACAUCAGCCAAUGUAUGCUCAUUUUGGUUGUUUGGCACAGUAUCUUUUUCUAAACAUAUGUACUUUGCCUUGUGGCACAACAUCUGGUCGAUUUAUGCAUGUAUAUGUAUUUAAUCGUUUAAUGUUAUAUAAUGAGGCCUUGCAUGUAACAUUGAUUGAAGUGUAUGUAUAAGCUGUUUGAUCUA